Molecule: ribosomal RNA, 834 nt
Filed under: Porpidia sp. Orange 19098 (NMW - C2013001223)
Lineage: Eukaryota; Fungi; Ascomycota; Lecanoromycetes; Lecideales; Lecideaceae
Description: eukaryotic LSU rRNA
Rfam family: Eukaryotic large subunit ribosomal RNA (bases 567-834)
Source: RNAcentral
AGAGGAAGUAAAAGUCGUAACAAGGUUUCCGUAGGUGAACCUGCGGAAGGAUCAUUACCGAGAGGAGGACCUCGCGUCCCCGGGGGGCUUCGGCCCCCACUCUUCACCCUGUGCGUACCCACCGUUGUUGCUUCGGCGCGCGGUCCGCGCCGGUGGUUCCGGGCAUUCACCCCGGGCGCCUUCCCGCGGCCCCGCCGGAGGCCUUCCAAACCCCGUCAUCAGUGUCGUCUGAGGAGAAAUCCAAUAACUAAAAACUUUCAACAACGGAUCUCUUGGUUCUGGCAUCGAUGAAGAACGCAGCGAAAUGCGAUAAUUAAUGUGAAUUGCAGAAUUCAGUGAAUCAUCGAAUCUUUGAACGCACAUUGCGCCCCUUGGUAUUCCGAGGGGCAUGCCUGUUCGAGCGUCAUUGCAACCUUCAAGCACCGCUUGGUACUGGGUUUCGUCCGCAGGGGCGUGCCCGAAAGACAGUGGCGGUCCGGUCGGGGCCCCGAGCGCAGUAGAUAACCUUUCGCUCCGGGCGCUCCCGCCGCGGCCAGCCAGCCAACAGCCCCCCGAUUUUCAAUGGUUGACCUCGGAUCAGGUAGGGAUACCCGCUGAACUUAAGCAUAUCAAUAAGCGGAGGAAAAGAAACCAACAGGGAUUGCCCCAGUAACGGCGAGUGAAGCGGCAACAGCUCAAAUUUGAAAUCUGGUCCCCCCGGGGCCCGAGUUGUAAUUUGCAGAGGAUGUUUCGGGCGCGGCGCCGGUGUAAGUUCCUUGGAACAGGACGUCGUAGAGGGUGAGAAUCCCGUAUGCGACCGGCGAUCAACCCCAUGUGAAACCCCUUCGACGAGUC